This 66-nucleotide transfer RNA is filed under the name Trochalopteron milnei (red-tailed laughingthrush). RNAcentral describes it as "tRNA-Cys". The record is from RNAcentral. Lineage: Eukaryota; Metazoa; Chordata; Aves; Passeriformes; Leiothrichidae.
GCCCUUGUAGUGAAGUUCAUAGUGAGUUUCAAGCUCAUCGAUGCGUAUUGAUCUGCGCCGAGGUCU